Molecule: long non-coding RNA, 5492 nt
Organism: Orbicella faveolata
Lineage: Eukaryota; Metazoa; Cnidaria; Anthozoa; Scleractinia; Merulinidae
Source: RefSeq, a predicted model, not a curated record
UAACAGCGCGAACCCGCAGGUAGCCUGGGCUAAUCUAGGCGGGCCACACCUAUACUUAUAUUACAUCAUUAAUACACAAAUAAGAUUGUUAUGCAACUGCUUAUAGAAGGAUUUGCGAAAUCGUUUAAUACAAGUACAUUUACAUAUUUUGAUUGACACUACUUUCAUUUGUACACUGCUUUGUUAGAGGAUUGUCUGUCCUUACGUGAUGCAAUCGUGUAUUGCGUUAGUAUAAGUAAAGUAAUAUGUUCAUUGUAAGACGAUCUACAUCUCGACGAUUUACGAUUCUACAUCAAAGAGUCGUACAUCGAAGACGUAUAGCGAAAUACGAAGAAUAAACGUGCGAAGGCCAAGUUCUCUGAGGGUCCUGAUUUCAGUCGAAGCAGAUCCGACAGUGCUUUGCGGAACCCCUGAUAGAUUCCUCUCUGGCAGCAAGCGAGUUGCUCCGAGCUAAUUCCCAAGUCAAGCACAGUCGUCAGGCCAGUUAGGCCUGCCAAACUUUUGUCAAACGCCCGUUUUCCCCUAGUUAGAGUUCAGAGCGGAAAAUCCCGUUGUCACAGUGGUGAGGAGAAUUAAUGUAGCUGCAACUGGAAUGCCGAAGGACAAGACAGAAUGAACAAACACAUCGACAAGCUUGCUGUAGUGGUUCGUAUACGCAAGAUGUAAAUCCCUUGGUGCGUGGAGUUGUUAUCGCCCAAGUACGUGAGUAAACAAUAGAGAGGUUAAGCACGACGUUCACGGCAAACGGCAAAAAUGAAACUUUUUCCGUCUCCCUCCAGUUCCGUGUACAGUAAAGUGAAAUUAUUAAUAUUUGCAAUGAACAGGAGGAAAAGUUAUUCCAUUUUUGUGUGCUUUAUUUACGGAUUAAAAGAAAAGAACUCAAAAUCAGAAGUUAUCUUUGCCGUUUGCCGUCCGCCGUUAACGUCAUGCUUAACCUCUCUAAUAUUUAAGUGAAGUCUGUGAAGAGAGUUUCAAAGAACAGUUUUCAACCUAGAUACAAUUUAAGAAGUAGAAAGACAGUCAGGGUAACCGUUAGAGCCAGUAGACCCAAAGUAGAUAGGUCCGUUGAAGCCGAUAUGUCCGAAGAAGAGAGUUGAGAAUUUCUUCGUGAGUUACCGUUCCGCCCGUACACCGAUCAAGCAGAAUAAUACCUCUGAUGGUAUAACAAAUGUUCCAAACGAUUUCCAUUCUGGAAAGGCCCGUUCCGUUUGGGUUCCCUCCAGAUAAACCGUUUUUUUUUUUCCCAUAAAAAUGGAGAGCGUCCAUAAUUUUCUUCCGAAAUAUUCCGUCCCACAGUCUCCUCCUAGUCUCCUCGUAAGAAUCGUCUUUAAAAUAAAAAUUGUAAAGAAUGAGAAUAGCUUACGGAAAGAUCCUAAGGUAUAGCAUUGCUAAAAACGCCUUAUGCAAGUCUUCUGGUGGAAUUACGCAUGUACGCUCUCGCUGUCAUGAAAGACUGCAUUUGCAAUCGUGCUGCUGAGAAUCAAGGACGCUCACCUAAGUUAUGGAAAGAACAGACCCAAAUGUAAGGUUUAAAAUUUGUACUGAAGUGUUUAGCUUAAUUUCACAGAUUUUAGAAGCAAAGUUUGUUUUCGGUUAUAAACGAAAUUGUUCGUGUUCAUUGUGGAUUUACAAGUCUUCUCAAUUCCACCACUACUACCCGAGUCUUAACAUUGCAUUGAGUGACUUUUUGUAGUUUUCCGGCAGGAAGUUGUCUUUUGGAUGUUAUUGACCCGGGUUCAAAAACUUCGCUGUAGAGAUUUUUCUAUACAGAAGUUGACUACGUCUAGUGCCUUGGUGCAUCUUUAAGUUUACAAAAAGGGAUGAAAAUGCUCGAGAAGUGCACGGGGGAGAUUACUUUCAGAGCCAUCAUGGCUUAUUUACAGCCAAAAUCUUUUCACGCUCUGCGGACCAGCGGACCUCGAGGUGAACCAUACGUCAUGGUCUGGGAACGAAAUGAAAUAGAAUACUUGGCAUGGCUCCAAUAUGGCUCCUGUCUUGUUGUCGCGCAGCGGGUUUAGUGGGCUUCGAUCGUUCAUUUUGGCAAUAUCUUUUACGUAAAAUGGUUCAAAUGCAUGUCAAGGUGUUUCCAAAAGUAUUGUUUAUCAGCACAUAACUGAUCGUGACUUUAACGAGACUGCAGUGUUGACCUGCAAAAACAGCAGAAGAGAUCGUGUCAUUCAGCUGAUUUGCGCUCCGAUUCUACUGAGGAUCUAAGGAACUGCGGUGAUACUCCUUACCCAGGCAGGAAAAGCAACAACAUCAGUGCAAACUGCCUGUCUAAAAUGCUGUCCAAUAUCAGGUAUGAUCAGUAACAAUUCCAUUGGAUGUAUCUUCAUUUCUACCCUUUCUGUUGUCAAAGGCAGACAAACAAUGUUCUUCCAGGAAGUGAUCCAGAAUUUUCUAAUUUUGUACUUUUUUAUUGUUCUAUCAUUCUAUUGGCUAAUUUGUGCACUAUAUGCACCUCACAAACGAAAAAAGGCAGCAUUCACUAGCUAUUAGGUAGACUAGUUUAAUACCUCCAAAUACAAGGAUCAGUUUUCCUUUGCGUUUCCAGUAGGUAUCUUAUGAACAAAAUGGUUCAAACCUAAUAUGUCUAGUUAUGAAAGGACAACCCAGCACUGCAAAUUCAAUCAUGCUGCCACCAGUUUCAGAUAGGGGUAAUGAAAUGCAUAAGACUCAAAGAAAUUAAGUUAUAGUCUACUCACUCUGUGAUGUUGAGCUAGUAAUAUUUCAACAUUUUUGAGGUUUCCUUCUCUGUUAAAAUGUUACUUGGAAGGACAACAUUAAUAAAAUCCAUGUCCUUUUCAUCUGGAAAACACAAUUUUACAGGAAUCCAAUUUCCUAUGAUACUUCUUUUGAAAUGCCGUUAUGUUUAAGCUUUUUCCUGAGACAUUCUUGCUUUGCCCAGCAAUUAACAGCUUUGAAUAACAUCACACCUUUGAUGUUUAGAUUUCUUUCAAUGAAUUCGUCAAGUAACGAUCUUUCGAUUGUCAAAAAAUUGUCUUAGUUCAAUACCUCCUUUGUUUCUUUGUGGAUCAACUCCCAACAGGCACAAAAAUGUUUAUCAAGUCUGUUUAGUCAGGCGUGUUUUAAAACACAGAGAACUUGCAUAAUGGUGCCACCAGUAAAGCAAACUUGAUUGGUGUAGAUGAAACAGAAAAACUCUAAAAGGCUUUGAUACUGACAGUCUGGCAAAUGAUUUUAUUUCUCUCUGCUUUUGCCAUCUUUCCACAAAACAUUAUAAAAACGCUGGGCUCCUAAUCAUCAGCAAAGGACUUGUGUGCUUGAAUAUAUAUAGUGGGGCCACUGCAUGGUUCAGUUUCAUUGUUGUGACUUUGGGACGCUUGAACAGCAAAUGUAACAUCACUUAACGUCUGGUUGUUAAACAUGAAUUUGAUACUUUCUCUAAAAGCGUCUGGCCAAACGCCGGCAGAUAUGAUGGCAGAGUAACAACAGUUAGGUGCCAUGAAGAACAAAAGAGAAUUGCUGUUUCAAUUUUCGAUCCCAGGGGGCCCCUCAGUCAUUGCUGGCAAACCACAAAAUUUCCGUCCAUUUUCUUGCAGCCCUGUUAAAGAGGUCCACAUAACGUGACGCAAGACUUUUAUGCAAUGCUUGGCAUCUGUUAUUCUAAAACAUUCUACAAUAGUACCAUUUAAUACUAUUCAACAUUGAAUAUGUUGUUGAACACUAAUGUAAUUGUUAGAUGUAUUUAGAACUGACUGCAUUUCCUGUGAUUUUGCUAUUGUCGCAAACCGCCUGGGAAAAGAACUUUUAGUUCGCUUGUGGUCAAAAGUAUACAUUCCAUGCAUGCAUGGCCAUGAUGACACUAUUCAUAACGUAGCUUCUUAAAGACUCACAAGAGCCACAAUUUAAAGAAUCAUUUGCUUAAAAAACUUUGAAUUACCACGUAGAAAGAAAAGGAAUGUCAGAAUCAACUAGACUGCCUCAUAUUUGUCAUGUUUUAUAACUUCAACCAGAAUUAUCCGACUCUGUGUGCAAAACAGUUCAGACAGGAUGAUGCCUUGUUAAUAUGGAUGCUCAUAUCUAGGACCGAGAAACACUGUUCAUGGAAUUUUUCUAUCAGAAGACGAUCUUAUGAAGAAAGAAAUACUACUCCUCAUGUCCAACAAUCCCCAUCACUAUCUGGUGGAUCCCUUUUACAAAGUUUACAUCCCUGAGAAAAAUAACCUUGACGCUUCUACUCUCCAAAAGAGAAAUGAUCAUUAUCAGGCCACCUAUCUGUGCUGCUUAACAUUCUUUCUAAUAAUUUUUUUAGAUGUUAAGGCCAGGAUUCAUCACCAUCAAUAAAUUUUAACUGCAAAAACUUAACUAGUCUUUCAUACAUCCAUUCCCACUUCGCUAUAUAAUGCGUAAAGUACAGAACUGGAAUUAGAUCAUAAUCAUCAUAAUAACUGCCCUCAUUAUAAUGCGUGUUACGACACUUUCUUCCCAUUUCACUACACUUAGAACAACUUAAUUCAAAAUCGCAAAUACUGUGUUCUGAUCAAUUAGUAAAUAAUGGCACAUUCUAUCAAAAGGUAUUAUGGUAAACUCUGGUUUAUAUGUAUGUUUUUUAUCCACAGGAAUAAGGUGGUUUUUGCUUACAAUUUCUUUGCAAAAAUAAAAUCCCAAAAACUCCUUGACCUCUGGAGAUCAAUAUAUCUUCAAGUCCCCACAAACUCCCAACAUAAACCCAAUGUCCCAAUCUGUGUAGCCACUUACCAUUGAGAUAAAUUUCUGUCAAUGUUUUUCCCACAAACUUGCUUGUUUCACCUUGAUCUACUGUGAGGAGAAGUUUGCUAACUUUAGCAAUUUCAAUGGUUGAUUCGUGAAGCCUCUAAGAGUACCAAUGCACUUUAAUAUUGUGGCCCAGGUGCCUUGCUAGCCAAUCUACAUCUGUUUCUUUUAGAGAAAGUACUUGAGAAAUGGUAGCUAUGUGUUACCUCAGCUUGGUACUUGUAAUAGCUGCUAGGUUUGACAAAAAUGUUUCACAAUGUGUUGUGAAUUUCCUGAGGCAAUCACACGCUCACAUGUGAUCUACUGAUUGUCUGCUUGGUCUGGCAAAUACAUACGGAUUUUUGUCCGGAAUGCCAACAUCCUUCCUCGUCUUGAUGAGAAGAUUGACACUGCUGGUCAUCUCUGUGGUCAAAAUGACGCACCUUUCUGCCUCUCUUGCCAUGUAUUUCAACCACGUCGAGUCUGUUUUAACAACAUUUUAUUAAAUGGAGAAAACUUGUUGAAGUACUGACCCAGGAAGAGGUGGUGGUGGAAAGGAUUUAAAAAAGAUACAAAUGGGUGAAUAAACAAGUAUGUUUCUGUUUCUGUUCCUUUAGCAGCUUAUAAUAUGUCCUGUCUAAUUAUAUGUAUCAAUAAAUUUGUUAAUUUUGAUAAUUAUUUUUUAAUAAUAAUAAUAAUAAUAAUAAUAAUCAAUAUUUAAACAGGGUGACCCCUUCAGUCGCAGGACUGGUAUCAACGGGGGCCCUGUAUAACGU